Long non-coding RNA from Myotis brandtii (Brandt's bat), 985 nucleotides. RefSeq lists it as uncharacterized. The transcript is spliced from 2 exons. The record is from RefSeq and is a predicted model, not a curated record. NCBI's taxonomy places the organism in Eukaryota, Metazoa, Chordata, Mammalia, Chiroptera, Vespertilionidae.
CCAACGCUCUAUCCACUGAGCCAUACCGGUUAGGGCAAUUUAAUACUUUUUAAGAAAAAAUUUCAGCUGGUGGGAAGCUCGGCCCUAAAGAUUCUGGGAUGUGUAGUCCAGAUGCCUCCUGUGAUGGGAGCACUUCCGCUCUUGGAAAGAGCAGACUUGUUCCUUAGGGAGGUUUAAUCAAGUGUUAUGCAUGUAUGGAGGCAUUUGGGUUACCCGAGGGCGAGGUAAUGAACCCAGCUUCUUUCCGGGAAUUUGAAUCAGGCCGCCUUGGCGCCCCCGGGGGCGGGGCAGCAGCUCCAGUUCCCCCAGUGAUGCUGGGAAAUGUAGUCCGUGCGCUCCGCGAAGUCGGAGGCACUUCCGCUGCAGAAGGCCGAGCUCGCGGCCUCGGUUUCUCCCGGAGUAAGGGCAAUAUCAAAGCCUGCCUCCUGAAGUUCUUGUGAAGAUUAAGUGAGAGCUAAUAUGUAAAGUGUUUGAAAUAGUGCCUGGCACGUAGUGAAUCCUCCGUGUAUUACAGACUAGCUGUUGUCCUUUGUCUAUCACAGAUGAGUAUACAACAUGAAAGAUGUAGCAAAUCAAUGAAAAGGCAAAAAGAUGUUUGAAGGUAUUCUUUUCUCCCCCACCUUCUGCUCUGAUACUUCAAUUCGGUCAUACAGUGGGACAAAAAUCAAAAGCUUCUGUAAUAACCAUUGUUUAAACCUAAAACUAAUUUGCUGUCUUUUGAACUUAGGGAGUCCCUGGGUGAUGAUUAUGCGAUCUCUGCAGCCUUUAAAAGGUGUUCGUCUGCACUAUCCAAUCUAGUAGCCAUUAGCCACCUGUGACUAUUGAGCACUGGAACUGUGGCUAGUGCUAAUUAAGGCACACAAUGGAUUUCAAAGACCUAGUAUGAAAACAGAAUGUAAACUAUCUCAAUUUUUAUAUUGAUUAUAAGUUGAAAUGGUAAUACUUUAGAUAUAUUGGGUUAAAUAAAAUGUAUUGUUAAAAUUAA